UACAGCAGAAAGAGAAUCCUUCUUCAGGGGAGGAAUGAGGCUGAGCAGGAGAAACAGGAGUGAUAGGCAUGAGAGACACUAAUUUACGUAAGCCGCUGAGUGCUACAGAGGGAAUGCCCUGCAGAGCACAAUCAGUUCAGGAGAAAGAUAGAUAAAGAACAGAGAUGGGCUAUUUGCUGGGGAUGGAGGUUAUUUGCUGGGAGCCAAGUGGGUGAGCAUACAUGAAUUCAUUGCAUGGGUCUAAGAUGUGGGGUACAGCAAAGAGCGGGGAAGUGAGUGGGUAAAGUCAGGGAAGACAAAGUAGGAAGAGAAAGUAGGAGUGGGACUCCAAUAGUAGAUAGUAGAAGCUGUAAUCACAGGAAAUAAUAGCUGCAUGGAUUUUGAGAGCUUAGGUGUCUGUUUAAAAAUGCAGACAUGGUAUCCAAAACAACUGAGUUAACUGGUCUGUGUAGCUCCAUCUGCAGAACAGGGAUGGCCUAAGUACUAGGGGAGCUGAGGAUGGGUGUGCAUCUCUCAGGCAGGGGCACAGCUGCAGUUCCUCAGAAGUUCACCCCAUGUCCUUCCAGCAUUCCUGGGAUUCAGCUGGAGUGCUGUACUCCUGACGGGGCUGAAUUCUGUUCCUCGGAACAUAGAGCCAAGGAAUGGCACUCUGUGCAGACAGCACUGAGAGAAGGAACAGUGGGGCAGAGAGGGCUGCCCUGGGAGAGUGUUUGAAACCUGUUAGUGGGAAGAAGGAUAUGCGUAUGGAUGGACAUAGGAAAUCCUAGAAGCAUCACAAUGUGAGGGAGGAGGGUGAGGUGCAAAGGCUCCAGAGUUGACUUGUCAAGAAAAACAAGAAACUGGGAGAUAAGAGAGGGAAGUGCAGGGCUUGCUGUGGAGAAGCGAAGACACCUUCUCCAGGGAGAAGGUGGGACCAUGCUGAAGGAUUCUCUGAAAAUCAUUAGCGGCACAGCCUCAGAGUGAGAACAGUUAAUAAGUUACAGGAGAGACCUCAAGGCAGAAUCAGGACAGGGCAAACAAAGAUCCCACUAUGUGAGGUUUCGGUGGGGUAACCUACAACUCCCUGAUUACUCUGACAGUGGAACAAGGGGCAGACAAGAGGAGCAGAGUGGCAUCCCUAGAGACCCUUCAGCGAUCGGCAUGCUCUGCAGUUAGUGGGCUGCCAGGCAGGCCUGCGAACCAGAGUUGUUGUACAAGCUGGACUGGACAUUCCAGGAACUGGAGAAAACCACAAUAUGCCUUUGUGACGUAGACAAAGUGUGCGUGGAGCGGAUUAGUACAUGCAGAUGUCUCAGCUUGUUCCAGCUGAUUGGCACCAAUCAAUUCCCCCAAAGUCUGGUGCAGAUGUGCUCCAUGUAAAACUAGACUCCUCACUGACAUGAAAAUGCGAGAAAUCGUGAAACCAGUUUUGGAUCGUGGCAGCAAAAGGACAAAUGAGCUCCUUAUGGAUUUUUCCAAAGAGAUGUGGUACCACCAUUUUAGAGUGGGACAGGCGCUGUGAAGAAGGAAGUCUUCCUUUUGAGCACUGUCAGCCCUGAGUCACUGCUGGCUGGAUUUGUACUCCAGCAAUCCCAAGGAAAUCCAGCCUGAGAGGUGGUUAGAUGCUGCACAGCCCGAGCCUUAGCACCACUGACAAGCCAACAUAAAGCUUGCCCUCAGGAGCCAUGAAGGGAGCUCUGCAGAGUGGACAGUACAGGCACUGUGGCAUCACAGCAGUGAGGGAGCUGAACCGGGAGCUGUGAGGUGAAGGUCCCUGUUUAACAGCUUUCCGUUUGUUUACCGAAAAAAUAUUGUUCCAUCAUAAAAAUUCCCAAAAUAGUUCGUGUCUUGACAGACUGACUGGCAGCUGCCCAGCUCUGCAGGAUCCUGCUAAAUGAAAGGAAAUAAAAAGAGCUAAUCUGGUACCCAUGGCCCAAUGCCUGCAGCUUGGGAAUCUGCAAAGGCUCAGGGUUCAGUUGGCCCAUUAGGUACAGGGUAGGGUAGAGAGCCCUUAGGUUGAGAGGCCAGCUUUACCUAUGGCAAAAGCUUUCCCAUGGGUGCUGGGCGGGCUGCUGGGGAAGCUGGGGAUUGCCUCGCUAUGAAUGGCCAGUUUCUGCUUUAUUUUUAUACUGAGAUUUUUUCCCUGUUUCCAGCUCUGCAGAGCUUUCCCUUGACCAGACAGGCUGUCCCACACCAGGGACUGACACUCCAAGGUUUUCAAUUCCUGGGAGCUGCCAAUUGCUCAUUUGGGGAAACUCUUCAUACAGGCAUCAUUUUGGACCAGUGCAGAUCCUAGCCAGCUUAACAUAUUGCUUGCUGUUCCAGAAGUCUUAGGAUGACAACCUACUGUUGCUGCAGAUUGUGAUGAUCUUAUUGUGCAUAAAAGUAUCAAAGAGCAAGUGGCACCCAAGUCAGAACUGUUCUUCCUAGGUAGAGCGAAAGGCCACUGUGAAGCCCUGCAGCAGUGACCAAGGGACCAUGCACAUUGUGACUCACAGCGCAGAGAAUCAGCAAACCCAGAUUAGGUCAUGCAGAAAUUGAGCCUCUGUGGAAAGAACCUAUCUACACCAAAUUGCAGAUGUGUCCUCAGCUGCAGUUAGCUUCUCCAUGGGCCAUGAUCAUGGCACUCAGAGCAGGUCUGCUUUAGGCAGGGACAAGAGAAAAUGUGUGCUUCGGAUCAUUCCCGGCAACAGCCCCAUGGGAGUCUCUAUUCCUUCUUUAGACAUUUCAGCACCAGGCCUCCAAGCCGGGCCAGGACUGAGCAGUGGAGCUGGGUGGGCUAGAGGGUGACUGUUACCCACCAUGAUUAGGGGAGACAAGCACCUCUGAAAUUGACACAGCCUCAGUCGGGCUCACUGUGAACAAUCAUAGAAUCAUAAAGGAUGGAAAAGAGCUUUGAAAUAAUUUAGUCCAACCAUCAACCUGUCACCAU
Non-coding RNA from Meleagris gallopavo (turkey), 2911 nucleotides. The record is from RefSeq and is a predicted model, not a curated record. Lineage: Eukaryota; Metazoa; Chordata; Aves; Galliformes; Phasianidae.